This 468-nucleotide ribosomal RNA is filed under the name uncultured bacterium. Its description in RNAcentral is "partial 16S ribosomal RNA". It matches the Rfam family "Bacterial small subunit ribosomal RNA", at positions 28 to 507 of the family's 1533-position model. The record is from RNAcentral.
GACGAACGCUGGCGGCGUGCUUAACACAUGCAAGUCGAACGGAAAGGCCCUGCUUUUGUGGGGUGCUCGAGUGGCGAACGGGUGAGUAACACGUGAGUAACCUGCCCUUGCCUUUGGGAUAACUUCAGGAAACUGGGGCUAAUACCGGAUAGGAGCUCCUGCUGCAUGGUGGGGGUUGGAAAGUUUCGGCGGUUGGGGAUGGACUCGCGGCUUAUCAGCUUGUUGGUGGGGUAGUGGCUUACCAAGGCUUUGACGGGUAGCCGGCCUGAGAGGGUGACCGGCCACAUUGGGACUGAGAUACGGCCCAGACUCCUACGGGAGGCAGCAGUGGGGAAUAUUGCACAAUGGGCGGAAGCCUGGUGCAGCAACGCCGGGUGGUGGAUGACGGCCUUCGGGUUGUAAACCGCGUUCGCCUGUGACGAAGCGUGAGUGACGGUAAUGGGUAAAGAAGCACCGGCUAACUACGUG